This 64-nucleotide transfer RNA is filed under the name Hylaeus confusus. Its description in RNAcentral is "tRNA-Glu". Lineage: Eukaryota; Metazoa; Arthropoda; Insecta; Hymenoptera; Colletidae. The record is from RNAcentral.
GUUUAUAUAGUUUAAUAAAAACAUUAUAAUUUCAAUAUAAAAUUGAUUAAUAAAUUUAUAAAUA